Sapajus apella (tufted capuchin) is the source of this 1411-nucleotide RNA transcript. It is a transcript of the gene named profilin-2 pseudogene, with no coding region annotated. NCBI's taxonomy places the organism in Eukaryota, Metazoa, Chordata, Mammalia, Primates, Cebidae. The record is from RefSeq and is a predicted model, not a curated record. The transcript has a single exon.
GCGAAGGGCUCGAAGAUGGCGGGCUGGCAGAGCUGCGUGGAGAGCCUCACGUGCGGCGGCUGCUGCCAGGAGGCCGCCAUUGUCGGCUACUACGACGCCAAAUACGUCUGGGCAGCCACGGCCGGGGCGUCUUUCAGAGCAUUACGCCAAUAGAAAUAGAUGUGAUUGCAGGAAAAGACCGGGAAGGUUUCUUUACCAACGGUUUCUCUUGGAGCGAAGAAAUGCUCAGUGAUCAGAGAUAGUGUGUACGUCGAUGGUGACUGCACAAUGGACAUGCGGACAAAGAAUCAAGGCGGGGAGCCAACAUACAAUGUUGCUGUCGGCAGAGCUGGUAGCGCAUUGGUUAUAGUCAUGGCAAAGGAAGGUGUCCACGGAGGCACACUUAACAAGAAAGCAUAUGAACUCGCUUUAUACCUCAGGAGGUCUGAUGUAAGCAGCCUCUCCCCAUCCACCUAGCAACUGUCUUCAUCAACACCCCCAAUUAUGGUCACAAUGCUACCAAACUAUAGACGGUAGCUAAUUUUUCUGUAGCUAUCUUUUAAUGUCAUGAUUCCUGUUUGCCCAGUGGAUCAUUUGUAUGUUAACCACUGUAUAUAACCAACCCUUAUCUGGCAACAUAAUUGCAGCACAAUGAUUUGCAUGAUACCUUGAAAUUGGGGGGAGGGGGCAUGCCAAGUUGGGCAUCACUUUGUCUUAGCAAUUAAUGGGAUAUUGAUUACUAAAAUAAGUUAAUAUUAAGCAAGGUGCCGGUUGUACAAUCUCUGAUCAAUGUCUUUUCAGCACUUUGAGCAUUCACUUGGCUCAUUUAGUCUUCUUUUGUAGCGCAUGGUUGGGAGGAAAAAGUGCCAGCAUCUUUCCUUCACUCUUCUCUUUUUCCCGCCCCCCGGCUCCCCCCCCCGUCCCCCCUCCCUUUGCCCAUAGGCAUUUGGUUUGCUUCCAUCUUUUUUUAUGCAGUGCCUGUUUUUUUAACCAAUUAAUAUCUCUUUUGUUGAUGAGCUAUUGAGAGCUGCAGUAGUUGCUUUUAGUAUUGCUGUUGCACUUGAGUAGAGACAAACCUUUAUUCAGUGUCUACAGGACAUAUGAAGGGUGCAAUGGCAAAACAAGAGCAAAAAGCAUUUCCUCCUAUGACCUUACAGCAAGCAUACUGAUUGAAUCCCCAGGGGCAUUCCAUCAUUACAAUAGCUCAGACUUGUGUUCCUUUUUCUUUGCACACCAGCUCUACUCUUUAGUCAAAUUGUAAAAGGCUGCCAUUAUGGACAUAAAGUAUCCCAACAUAACCGUCUGGAGUGUGUCCAGUUUGUUCUUCAUAGGACCAAUUUUUAUUUGCAGCUUGAGUUUUUAUAUGAAGUUGCAUUAUUGUGGACUUGGCUGUCUUGUGAUGAAUUGUUUUCAUAUGUAUUCUGUGCCAUAC